CGGAGGGUGCAAGCGUUAUCCGGAUUCACUGGGUUUAAAGGGUGCGUAGGUGGGUUGGUAAGUCAGUGGUGAAAUCUCCAGGCUUAACUUGGAAACUGCCAUUGAUACUAUCAGUCUUGAAUACCGUGGAGAUGAGCGGAAUAUGUCAUGUAGCGGUGAAAUGCUUAGAUAUGACAUAGAACACCAAUUGCGAAGGCAGCUCGUUACACGAAUAUUGACACUGAUGCACGAAAGCGUGGGGAUCAAACAGGAUUAGAUACCCUGGUAGUCCACGCCCUAAACGAUGGAUACUCGACAUUUGCGAUAAACUGCAAGUGUCUGAGCGAAAGCAUUAAGUAUCCCACCUGGGAAGUACGACCGCAAGGUUG
RNAcentral lists this ribosomal RNA (368 nucleotides) under uncultured organism. RNAcentral's name for it is "bacterial SSU rRNA". It matches the Rfam family "Bacterial small subunit ribosomal RNA", at positions 526 to 896 of the family's 1533-position model. The record is from RNAcentral.